RNAcentral lists this ribosomal RNA (386 nucleotides) under uncultured bacterium. Its description in RNAcentral is "bacterial SSU rRNA". It matches the Rfam family "Bacterial small subunit ribosomal RNA", at positions 975 to 1375 of the family's 1533-position model. The record is from RNAcentral.
CUGGGCUUGACAUGUAGCUGUAAGCUUCUGGAAACAGAAGCCCCCUUCGAGGAUUGCUACACAGGUGCUGCAUGGCUGCCGUCAGCUCGUGCCGUGAGGUGUACCGUUAAGUCGGGUAACGAGCGCAACCCCUAUCGUAUGUUAAAUGUACAUACGAGACUGCCUUGGCAACGAGGAGGAAGGUGGGGACGACGUCAAGUCAGCAUGGCUCUUACGCCCAGGGCGACACGCAUGAUACAAUGGUCAGUACAAAGGGUAGCCAACCCGCAAGGGGGAGCCAAUCCCACAAAACUGAUCUCAGUUCGGAUUGUAGGCUGCAACUCGCCUGCAUGAAGUUGGAAUCGCUAGUAAUCGCGCAUCAGCCACGGCGCGAUGAAUACGUUCUC